AUGGGGAGGAAGAAGGGCGCCGUCGGCGGCGCGAAGAGCGUGGCCGUGCCCGUGCCGGCGCAGACGGAGGUGGAGGUUGAGAAGGAGGCCAAGAAAGCGGCUCCGAGGAAGCGCAACCCGUGCCCCGGAAUCCGCGCCGUCGGCGGCCGGAUCUACGACCCGGAGAACGGCAAGACCUGCCACCAGUGCCGUCAGAAAACAACGGACUUUGCGGUGGCCUGCAAGCAGCCCGGGGGGAAGGGGCCCUGCUCAACCCACUUCUGCCACACGUGCCUGUCCAACAGGUAUGGCGAGGACGCGAAGAAGGCGGCCAAGAAGGCGCGCUGGGCCUGCCCUAAAUGCAGGGGCAUCUGCAACUGCAGCUUCUGCAGAAAGAAGAAAGGGGAGACUCCCACGGGGAUACUGGCCCAUGCCGCCAAGGCGACAGGGCACUCUUCCGUCCAUGAGCUGCUGAAACAGGGCUCGGACAUGGUGGCCGCUGCACAGACGCUGACCUCGCUCCCCGCGAAGAUCAAGAAGGAACAAAAGAGGGCCCUAGGGACAGAUGAUGAUGCUGAUGGAAUAGUGGUUCAAGGCGAUGAGAAUGUAGGGACUGAUCUCAAUGCAUUUCCUUCAUCUCCUGCCAACAAGAAGCUGAAGAAGGGCGCUUCUGAUGAGAGCACUGAUGUGCUCAAGACCAAAACUGAGCUACCCAAAGGUACUCUGGUCACUAAUGUUGUAGGGGCCAAGCUGGAGGCCGACGAUGUUGGGUCUGCGAUUCAGUUUUAUGAAUUCUGCCGCACAUUUGCUGAGGUGUUUCAAAUAAAGAAGGGACAGCCUGAAAAAGUUCUUCAACUCAUAACUGGAGGAAGCCGUAAAGGGCGAGUGGUGCCUUCAGUUGUUGCUGAUCUUCACAUUAGUUUGUUGUCUAUCCUCCAAGAAGACAGAGGAGAGAACCCUUUGGACUAUUCAAGAGAUGGGGAUGCUUGGAUAACUGAGACUGGCAGAUAUAUUUGUGAAUCCACAGUUAUCUCGAAGGAACUACCUCUUGACUGUUUAAACCAAGGGGUAUCAGGAUAUAAAAAGUUGAGCCCUUCUUUAAAGCUCCAUGUGCUGAAUUUUCUGUGUGAUGAGACCCUUUCUACUGCAACAUUAAGGGGCUUGAUUGUCAAACAAGAUGAAGGUGCCACUGAGAGAAAGAUUGCUGCAAGAGAAAAAAUCCGUGCUGCGAAGGAAAAGGAAAAAGAGCUUAAAGAAAGACUAAAGAAUGAGAUGGAUAAAUCAAUGUUUCUGAGAAAAGGAGAAGAAAUUAAGAGUCUCAUUUCUCAAAUUAAGGAGUUAAAUGAAGACAAGGAGGCAGCAGUAGAUGAUGAGAAGCUCGGAGAUCUACUUAGGACAAAGCCUGUCAGGAAAGACAAAGGGGUUGCAUACUGGAAGUUUGAUGGUUAUUACAAGAAGACCUCAAUAAUGCGCCAAGAGUUUGACACAACAGGGAACAAUGACAAGUGGUUUAUGUUCACUGAGGAAGAAGAAAAAGUAAUUGGAGAUCAUUUGGCCCCAAGGUCCCAACUUCAGUGCAAGAGUCAUACCCAGGCAUGA
This 1578-nucleotide ribosomal RNA is filed under the name Triticum aestivum (bread wheat). RNAcentral describes it as "partial small subunit ribosomal RNA". The record is from RNAcentral. Lineage: Eukaryota; Viridiplantae; Streptophyta; Magnoliopsida; Poales; Poaceae.